This 333-nucleotide ribosomal RNA is filed under the name uncultured Methylobacteriaceae bacterium. RNAcentral describes it as "bacterial SSU rRNA". It matches the Rfam family "Bacterial small subunit ribosomal RNA", at positions 1 to 359 of the family's 1533-position model. Lineage: Bacteria; Pseudomonadati; Pseudomonadota; Alphaproteobacteria; Hyphomicrobiales; Methylobacteriaceae. The record is from RNAcentral.
UUCGCCCUUAGAGUUUGAUCCUGGCUCAGAGCGAACGCUGGCGGCAGGCUUAACACAUGCAAGUCGAGCGGGCCCUUCGGGGUCAGCGGCAGACGGGUGAGUAACGCGUGGGAACGUGCCCUUCGGUUCGGAAUAACUCAGGGAAACUUGAGCUAAUACCGGAUACGUGCGAGAGCAGAAAGGUUUAUCUGCCGAAGGAUCGGCCCGCGUCUGAUUAGCUAGUUGGUGAGGUUAUGGCUCACCAAGGCGACGAUCAGUAGCUGGUCUGAGAGGAUGAUCAGCCACACUGGGACUGAGACACGGCCCAGACUCCUACGGGAGGCAGCAGAAGGG